GACGAACGCUGGCGGCGUGCUUAACACAUGCAAGUCGAACGGAAAGGCCCUGCUUUUGUGGGGUGCUCGAGUGGCGAACGGGUGAGUAACACGUGAGUAACCUGCCCUUGACUUUGGGAUAACUUCAGGAAACUGGGGCUAAUACCGGAUAGGAGCUCCUGCUGCAUGGUGGGGGUUGGAAAGUUUCGGCGGUUGGGGAUGGACUCGCGGCUUAUCAGCUUGUUGGUGGGGUAGUGGCUUACCAAGGCUUUGACGGGUAGCCGGCCUGAGAGGGUGACCGGCCACAUUGGGACUGAGAUACGGCCCAGACUCCUACGGGAGGCAGCAGUGGGGAAUAUUGCACAAUGGGCGGAAGCCUGAUGCAGCAACGCCGCGUGCGGGAUGACGGCCUUCGGGUUGUAAAACGCUUUCGCCUGUGACGAAGCGUGAGUGACGGUAAUGGGUAAAGAAGCACCGGCUAACUACGUGC
This 469-nucleotide ribosomal RNA is filed under the name uncultured bacterium. RNAcentral's name for it is "partial 16S ribosomal RNA". It matches the Rfam family "Bacterial small subunit ribosomal RNA", at positions 28 to 508 of the family's 1533-position model. The record is from RNAcentral.